AUGAACGCUGGCGGCGUGCCUAAUACAUGCAAGUCGAGCGAACGGACGAGAAGCUUGCUUCUCUGAUGUUAGCGGCGGACGGGUGAGUAACACGUGGAUAACCUACCUAUAAGACUGGGAUAACUUCGGGAAACCGUAGCUAAUACCGGAUAAUAUUUUGAACCGCAUGGUUCCAAAGUGAAAGACGGUCUUGCUGUCACUUAUAGAUGGAUCCGCGCUGCAUUAGCUAGUUGGUAAGGUAACGGCUUACCAAGGCAACGAUGCAUAGCCGACCUGAGAGGGUGAUCGGCCACACUGGAACUGAGACACGGUCCAGACUCCUACGGGAGGCAGCAGUAGGGAAUCUUCCGCAAUGGGCGAAAGCCUGACGGAGCAACGCCGCGUGAGUGAUGGAGGUCUUCGGAUCGUAAAACUCUGUUAUUAGGGAAGAACAUAUGUGUAAGUAACUGUGCACAUCUUGACGGUACCUAAUCAGAAAGCCACGGCUAACUACGUG
Molecule: ribosomal RNA, 496 nt
Filed under: uncultured bacterium
Lineage: Bacteria
Description: partial 16S ribosomal RNA
Rfam family: Bacterial small subunit ribosomal RNA
Source: RNAcentral